RNAcentral lists this ribosomal RNA (497 nucleotides) under uncultured bacterium. Its description in RNAcentral is "partial 16S ribosomal RNA". It matches the Rfam family "Bacterial small subunit ribosomal RNA", at positions 28 to 507 of the family's 1533-position model. The record is from RNAcentral.
GAUGAACGCUCGCGGCGUGCCUAAUACAUGCAAGUCGAGCGAACGGACGAGAAGCUUGCUUUUCUGAUGUUAGCGGCGGACGGGUGAGUAACACGUGGAUAACCUACCUAUAAGACUGGGAUAACUUCGGGAAACCGGAGCUAAUACCGGAUAAUAUUUUGAACCGCAUGGUUCAAAAGUGAAAGACGGUCUUGCUGUCACUUAUAGAUGGAUCCGCGCUGCAUUAGCUAGUUGGUAAGGUAACGGCUUACCAAGGCAACGAUGCAUAGCCGACCUGAGAGGGUGAUCGGCCACACUGGAACUGAGACACGGUCCAGACUCCUACGGGAGGCAGCAGUAGGGAAUCUUCCGCAAUGGGCGAAAGCCUGACGGAGCAACGCCGCGUGAGUGAUGAAGGUCUUCGGAUCGUAAAACUCUGUUAUUAGGGAAGAACAUAUGUGUAAGUAACUGUGCACAUCUUGACGGUACCUAAUCAGAAAGCCACGGCUAACUACGUG